AAGCAGCCAAGAGGAGCAAGCCAUGCAGAGGGAGAACUGGAACCAGCAGUGGCACUUUGCAAAAGUGGGGAAGCGAAAAGAAUAGACAGUGCUAAUCAGCAAACUGAAAUAGGGAAAUGCAGAGGACCUUUAGAAAGGAGCUGGGGAAAAAACUGUCAGGUCUCCUCAGGGAGAACAUGUGAUAUUAUGGUGGGGGUUAUUAAAGGCUGUUUGUUCAGAUCAAUUAAUUUCUUUCCUUGGCAUUUUUAAAGGCAAACGUGAAUUUUUGAAGUGGAGAUGAACACUUGCUUUGUUUGUUCAGGAAAAAAACCAACCCAGAAUCAUCUUUUGCCAUAGGAAUGAGGGUUAUGCAUCAGAACAUUACAACAUAUGAGGAAAAUCUGGGGAAGAUUUAAUCAAGUUU
This 403-nucleotide long non-coding RNA is filed under the name Cyanistes caeruleus (blue tit). RNAcentral's name for it is "lncRNA (ENSCCEG00000011660.1)". Lineage: Eukaryota; Metazoa; Chordata; Aves; Passeriformes; Paridae. The record is from RNAcentral.